UACGUAGGUCCCGAGCGUUGUCCGGAUUUAUUGGGCGUAAAGCGAGCGCAGGCGGUUUUUUAAGUCUGAUGUGAAAGCCCUUGGCUCAACCAAGGAAGUGCAUCGGAAACUGUUAGACUUGAGUGCAGUAGAGGAGAGUGGAAUUCCAUGUGUAGCGGUGAAAUGCGUAGAUAUAUGGAGGAACACCGGUGGCGAAAGCGGCUCUCUGGACUGUAACUGACACUGAGGCUCGAAAGCGUGGGUAGCAAACAGG
RNAcentral lists this ribosomal RNA (253 nucleotides) under uncultured microorganism. RNAcentral describes it as "partial 16S ribosomal RNA". It matches the Rfam family "Bacterial small subunit ribosomal RNA", at positions 524 to 776 of the family's 1533-position model. The record is from RNAcentral.